AGUAACGCAGCGAAAGCUGUGCUAAUACCGCAUACGAUCUACGGAUGAAAGCAGGGGAUCGCAAGACCUUGCGCGAAUGGAGCGGCCGAUGGCAGAUUAGGUAGUUGGUGAGGUAAAGGCUCACCAAGCCUUCGAUCUGUAGCUGGUCUGAGAGGACGACCAGCCACACUGGGACUGAGACACGGCCCAGACUCCUACGGGAGGCAGCAGCC
RNAcentral lists this ribosomal RNA (212 nucleotides) under uncultured Variovorax sp. RNAcentral's name for it is "partial 16S ribosomal RNA". It matches the Rfam family "Bacterial small subunit ribosomal RNA", at positions 142 to 355 of the family's 1533-position model. The record is from RNAcentral. Lineage: Bacteria; Pseudomonadati; Pseudomonadota; Betaproteobacteria; Burkholderiales; Comamonadaceae.